CAGUAGCCGCGGUAAUACGUAGGGCGCAAGCGUCGUCCGGAAUUAUUGGGCGUAAAGGGCUCGCAGGCGGUUUCUUAAGUCUGAUGUGAAAGCCCCCGGCUCAACCGGGAAGGGUCAUUGGAAACUGGGAAACUUGAGUGCAGAAGAGGAGAGUGGAAUUCCACGUGUAGCGGUGAAAUGCGUAGAGAUGUGGAGGGACACCAGUGGCGAAGGCGACUCUCUGGUCUGUAACUGACGCUGAGGAGCGAAAGCGUGGGGAGCGAACAGGAUUAGAGACCCCCGUAGUCCCUGUCUCUUAUAC
This 301-nucleotide ribosomal RNA is filed under the name uncultured bacterium. RNAcentral's name for it is "partial 16S ribosomal RNA". It matches the Rfam family "Bacterial small subunit ribosomal RNA", at positions 509 to 807 of the family's 1533-position model. The record is from RNAcentral.